Molecule: ribosomal RNA, 470 nt
Filed under: uncultured bacterium
Lineage: Bacteria
Description: bacterial SSU rRNA
Rfam family: Bacterial small subunit ribosomal RNA
Source: RNAcentral
CCAGACUCCUACGGGAGGCAGCAGUGGGGAAUUUUGGACAAUGGGCGCAAGCCUGAUCCAGCUAUUCCGCGUGUGGGAUGACGGCCCUCGGGUUGUAAACCACUUUAGUAGAGAACGAAAAGGAGCUAUCGAAUAAAUAGCUCUGCUGACGGUACUCUAAGAAUAAGCACCGGCUAACUACGUGCCAGCAGCCGCGGUAAUACGUAGGGUGCGAGCGUUAUCCGGAUUUAUUGGGUUUAAAGGGUGCGUAGGCGGGACCUUAAGUCAGCGGUAAAAUUGCGGUGCUCAACGCCGUAGAGCCGUUGAAACUGGGGUUCUUGAGUGAGCGAGAAGUAUGCGGAAUGCGUGGUGUAGCGGUGAAAUGCAUAGAUAUCACGCAGAACCCCGAUUGCGAAGGCAGCAUACCGGCGCUCAACUGACGCUGAGGCACGAAAGUGCGGGUAUCGAACAGGAUUAGAUACCCGUGUAGU